Long non-coding RNA from Synchiropus splendidus (mandarinfish), 381 nucleotides. RefSeq lists it as uncharacterized. Lineage: Eukaryota; Metazoa; Chordata; Actinopteri; Syngnathiformes; Callionymidae. The record is from RefSeq and is a predicted model, not a curated record. The transcript is spliced from 3 exons.
UCUCAUUAAUAUAGCCAAACAGUAACUGCUGUUGUGUUCCACAGGGUCGGGAUGUCGAGAGUCAGAAACAGCCUGGAGAGAGAUGGAUCUCGCGGUCAGCCAUGUUUGUUUACAUCCGCCCUGUUUUGAGGCCUGCUGCACUAGACAAACUCCCAUGAACCAGCAGAGCAGACCUUCAUUGAGUCCUUGAGUGUCAGAUGGAAGGCUGGAGCAAGGCUGUUCUGUACAGGCUGCAAACAACAGGGCUCCACACUCUUUCUCUUUUAGGCCUGGUGUUCCUCUCUCUCGGAGAGGGUUUUGGUCAUGGGGGGAAGGGCGCCGUGUUUGGAGUGACCCAGAGGAGAAGGUCGACGACACGCCACAAACGAACCAACAGCCUGA